Molecule: long non-coding RNA, 2904 nt
Filed under: Heterocephalus glaber (naked mole-rat)
Lineage: Eukaryota; Metazoa; Chordata; Mammalia; Rodentia; Bathyergidae
Description: lncRNA (ENSHGLG00100046118.1)
Source: RNAcentral
UUCUGAUUGUGUAGUUCAUUUCAAAGAAACUCUAAAUACCUUCCAAAAUGUGAAGUUUCAAAAAUCAAAAUCCAUGACAAACAGUCGGGCACUGUAUGCCAAUGUUUCAGUCAGUGAUGGAUAACAUAUAAGAAGGUGGUCUUAUAAGACUGCAACAAAACUGAAAAAUUCCUGUUGCUCAGCUAUAUAGCCAUUAUAACAUUGUAUAACAUUGUAGCACGUGCAUUAUUCACUUGUUUGUAAUGGUGUGAACAAACUUGCUGUGCUGCUAGUUGUAUAAAAGUAGCCAUACAAUUAUUUGUGGUAUGUAAUACUUGAAAGUGAAAACUAAUGAUCAAUAGUAAAGAAAGAGAGUCCAGAAAUAAACCCAUACAUCUGUUUUUAAUUGAAACUCAACAAAGAUAGGGAGGCCUUUUAAUGGGGAAAAAUGGGCUUUUCAUCAGUGGUGCAGAGACAAAUAGCCACACACCAAAGAAAUGCCUUUGGACAUUCACCUCAAAUCAUAUAGAAAAAUUAACUCAUGGACCAAUGGACUAAACAUAACAGAUAAGAUUAUAAAACUCUUAUCUGGGAGCAUAUGUGUAAAUAUUUGUGAUUUUGGCAAUGGAUUCCUAUAUAUAUCAAAAGUAUGAUGCUACAGUUGGAACCCAAAGGAUCCCCCAGAAGGCUCAUUGUGUUGAAAAGCUGGUCACUAGCUGGAUGGGCUUUUAGGAACUGAUUGGAUCAUGAGGGCUCUAAUUUUAUCAAGUAGAUCUAAAUCCAUCCAUGUAUUCAUUAGCUGAAUGGAUUAGGAGAUGAGGCCUAAUUGGAUGAAGCUGGUCACUGUGGGCAUAACUUUGAAAGACAUUUUUUGUCCCCAGCCCUCCCUUUCUGACUCUUUCCCUCUCUCUAUCCUUGCUGCCAUAGGUAAGCAGCUUUCCUCUGCUAUGCCCUUCUUCUAUAUUUCUGCCUCACCACAUGCCAAAAAGCAAUGCAGCCAGUUGGCCAUGGACUGAAGCCUCUGAAACUUGCUGUUCUCCUGCCCUGCUUCUCAGUCACCACGAACUAAGAAGUUUUGUUCUAUCAUACUCUUCUACCAUGCCAUUUCUGCCUUGAAGCAAAUCAACCAUGAAUUCCACCCUCUGAAACCAUGACACAGAUAAACCUCUCAUCCUUUAAGCGGUGGGUAUAAGAUAUUUGUCUCAGCUAUAAGAAAGCUGACUAAUGCAGAACAUUGGUACCAGAGAAGUGAAAGUCAUUGCUAUAAAUGUACUUGAUCAUAUGGUUCAGAAGCCUUUGGAACUGGUUUGUGGGAAGAGUCUUGAAAAAGCCUGGAGAAAGCCUACAAUAUUACAAGCAGAUCUUGAUGAAUGACUCUUGCUAGAGCUCAAAGAUAAGAAUGUUGGUAAUAACAUGGACAGUAUGAGAUUUCAGUUGGGAACUCUAUUGGGAAUUAGGCUAAAGGUCAUGCAUGUUAUACUCUACCACAAGUUCUCUAAUUUUGUUCAUACUCUAAGACUAAAUUUUAGGCCCAUGAGCCAAGAGAAAAAAUCAAGGCAGCCCAAUAUUCAGGCAGUGGUAUGUGUACUUCUGGUUUUUUAAUCCAGAUUUGUAGUGAGAAUCAGGAGCAAAAAACAGAUCAGAAAGUUUUGAAAAGCAUAAGUUUUGACCAGAAAAUUAGCAUAUGUAAAGUUAGCAUCAAGGAGAGUAUGGUUCCUAAAAAAAUUAAUGCUUUUUAAAAGACACCAAAUACUGUGAACUAGGACAAGAAGAAAGAUGUUUUGAGGGCACCUCAGGAACUGGCAAGACUGCAUCCAUCAUAGACUCUAAGGUACAAAAGUGUAGAUCUUUCAUUUGAAGAAAGAGACCCUGGGACCCUUUUCAAGAAGGUCCAUUUAGGAAAUUGGUUUCCCUGGAUUCAUUUCACUGUGUUCAGCCAUCCAGGCCCUCAGAGGCCACUUUAUUGCUCACAUUGGUGGCAGAUCUUGGCACUAUCCACAUAAUGCUGAUUUUUUUGGUAUACAGAAUGCUAUGGAAACAUUAAGGCUUCCACUCAGAUUUUAAAGAAAGGCCUUGAACACCAGGCAAAAAUGUGUGACAGUGUCAGUGUCCCUGCCAGAAGCUACUGAGAGCACAAUGGGUGUAGCUGUAGGAAUGAAGCCAAAGGUAUAAUGGAGACCCCAGGAAACUAGGGAUUUUAGGAGCAAGGAAAGCUGUGGCAACGAGUACAGCCAGCCCAGGAUAGAGGUCAUGUGAGCUGAAACUGGCAAAACCAUAGGGAUGGUGUUGCCCAAACCCUUUGGCACUCACAUUUCACCACCAUGUUCCCUGGAUUCCAGACGUGUAGCUAUAAGAUCUAACACUUGCCUUGCUGGUUUUCAGUCUUGCUUUGGUCCUAUUCUUCUUUAUUUCCUCCCCUUAUUCAUUUCUCUUUUUGAGAUGAGAGUGUUUACCCUGUACAGUUUUAUAUUGAGAAUAUGUAACUUGCUUUUUGAAUUUUCAGACGUUUGUAGCCAAGGGCUUACUUUGAGUCUCAGGGGAUAUUUUGAACUUAAAUUUAUGAAUAAUGCUGGAAUUGGUGAAACUUUAGGGUGGACAUUGAAGGACCCUAGUUAGUAAGACAGACUCCAUAUUGCUGCUUGACCCACCUGCCUGCCCUUUACAUGAACUCAGAAGGAGGAAGCUUAGAAACCUCCUCCCCUUAGAGUUUCUUAGAAGCAACAAUUAAUCAACUAUUGUUUUACAAAUGUUCUAAGGACAGGGUGUUCAGCUUCUGUACCUUUUGCUUGCUUUGCUAGUUCUAUCCCAUAGGGGGCCCCAGAAACUGCUGGCCUCAAAGAUGCAUAAAAUAUGUUAAUCUCCCCCAGUCAGGGCUUGAGUCUGAUGCUUGGCUCAGGUCCCAGCCAGUAAUAAACUGCUGUGUGG